RNAcentral lists this ribosomal RNA (629 nucleotides) under Streptococcus agalactiae. RNAcentral describes it as "bacterial SSU rRNA". It matches the Rfam family "Bacterial small subunit ribosomal RNA", at positions 1 to 613 of the family's 1533-position model. Lineage: Bacteria; Bacillati; Bacillota; Bacilli; Lactobacillales; Streptococcaceae. The record is from RNAcentral.
UUAAUGAGAGUUUGAUCCUGGCUCAGGACGAACGCUGGCGGCGUGCCUAAUACAUGCAAGUAGAACGCUGAGGUUUGGUGUUUACACUAGACUGAUGAGUUGCGAACGGGUGAGUAACGCGUAGGUAACCUGCCUCAUAGCGGGGGAUAACUAUUGGAAACGAUAGCUAAUACCGCAUAAGAGUAAUUAACACAUGUUAGUUAUUUAAAAGGAGCAAUUGCUUCACUGUGAGAUGGACCUGCGUUGUAUUAGCUAGUUGGUGAGGUAAAGGCUCACCAAGGCGACGAUACAUAGCCGACCUGAGAGGGUGAUCGGCCACACUGGGACUGAGACACGGCCCAGACUCCUACGGGAGGCAGCAGUAGGGAAUCUUCGGCAAUGGACGGAAGUCUGACCGAGCAACGCCGCGUGAGUGAAGAAGGUUUUCGGAUCGUAAAGCUCUGUUGUUAGAGAAGAACGUUGGUAGGAGUGGAAAAUCUACCAAGUGACGGUAACUAACCAGAAAGGGACGGCUAACUACGUGCCAGCAGCCGCGGUAAUACGUAGGUCCCGAGCGUUGUCCGGAUUUAUUGGGCGUAAAGCGAGCGCAGGCGGUUCUUUAAGUCUGAAGUUAAAGGCAGUGGCUUAAC